CUCGCCUCCAUGACAACGGAAUCCCUAGUAAUCAGAAUUCAACACGUUCUGGUGAAUACGUCCCUUGGCCUUGCACACACCGCCCGUCAAACCAACCGAGCAGGGCUUAGGUGAGAGAUAGUCUUUAGACUACUUCGAAUCUAAGUUCAGUAAGGUGGGUUAAGUCGUCACAAGGUAGCCGUAGGGGAACCUGCGGCUGGAUCACCUCCU
Molecule: ribosomal RNA, 210 nt
Filed under: Nanobdellota archaeon
Lineage: Archaea; Nanobdellati; Nanobdellota
Description: partial 16S ribosomal RNA
Rfam family: Archaeal small subunit ribosomal RNA
Source: RNAcentral